Long non-coding RNA from Apis florea (little honeybee), 3763 nucleotides. The record is from RefSeq and is a predicted model, not a curated record. NCBI's taxonomy places the organism in Eukaryota, Metazoa, Arthropoda, Insecta, Hymenoptera, Apidae.
GUCGUUCUACGAACCAAAAGUAUUCUGGAACAUGGAAGAAGGAUUCAAAGAAAAUGAACAAUUCCGCCCACGAUUCCAUUUUAAAAAAAUAGAACUUGCACAUGACUGUCGAAGAAUUAAAGUACUCUUUAAACAACCAGCCAGUAACAAGAAUAAAAUAAGAGUCGAACAGCAGCAUCAUUCGUUCUACAAUUAAACAUUCUCGCACAAUAUUUCUCCAUCGUGGAAAACUGUCGAGCCCUCUUCAAACUUUUAAUUUCCCCUGUCAACCAUUAUCAAACAUCGACGAAUUAUUCAAAUUAUAAGGUGUACACUUUCACACAUACACUGUUUAGCAAAUAUCCUACAAAAACUGAUUCGUGAUCGAACCGUGCAAGCGAAAAAAAAAAAAGCAAAACAAUAAAAACAUUGUUAAAAGAAAAGAAAAAGAAAAACGAAAAAUAGAAUUCCAUUAUGGACGUGUUUGCUAAUGGAAUUUCCGUCCUGAAUAAAUUUCACUACGAGCAGUCGUACCACGUCUUUCCGCUUAACGUGGCGCUUUAAUGGAUUUUUUUAGGGGACUUCCGGUAUUAAACGAACGUCGUUAAUGGCUUCAUAUUCGGUUUUUUUCUUCUUUCGAAGAACGGAAGAAAAAGUUUAAUAUUGUAAAGUUACGUUGCACCGAAGUUUUGUGGAUUCGGCAAAUUGGUUUGAUAAAUCGUGUUGGUGGUGGGUAUCGAGUUUUCUUUUCUUUUUUUUUUUUUUAGAACGCCAAUGUCCUAAAUUUAUAAUUGUGACCCAUUACGACGUUUUCUUCUUCGUUUCACAAAUCGAUUUCGCUGUCGCUCUGAUUCUUUCGAGGAAAUGGAAUAUUUAUCAAGAUGUCCGCUGGAUAUAAUUAAGAAGUGUUAUUAAUGUUAUCAUGAGUAAAUAAAGUUAACUGCAUGCUGAAUAAGUAUCAUAGAAUCGAAACCAUCCAAGCACAUAGUUCUAGAAAUUGGUAAAAAUAAUUAAUUCGAAUUAAAUGGACAGAAAGUUAGCCGACCAUUAUUGUAUAUUUCGAUGAAAAAUAUCGAAACUUUGAAUUUUUACAAGAGGAAACGAUACAUCGAAUUAAUAAAAAGUCAAAAAAAGAACAAUUUUUUUCAAAACAUAAAAUCAAAUGAAAAACACCUCGGGGAAAAAAUAUCGAAACCUUUCCUUUAAAUUUUUCAAAAGGAGAAACAAUAUCGAAUUGAAAAAUGAAAAAAAAAAUAAAUAAAUAAAUAAAAAAAGAGAGAACGAUUCUUUUGAAUUGCAUCACAACAAAUAAAAAAAAAUACGUUGAAAACGAGACAUCGAGACGCCUCCAUUCCCCGCAGAAUGAAGCGGCAGAGAUAAAAAGAGAGGGCGGAUUGUGCGGAAAGAAAAGUUUGAGAAAGAGUAGGCCGGGUACUUAACAUCCGACGACUUGAAAACGCGCGUUUAUCUAUCCAGCCUUUGGUCGGCCGCGAGAGGUUCCUUUUAUCGCUAGGCGCGACCGGAAGUGGUGACAUCGAGGGGGCAAAGAAGGCGGAAAUGCAUAGAGACGCCAGGGGUAAGACGGCGCACACGGGGUGGUUGGCCAACUAAAGAGCCUGGAGUAUCAAGUUUUAACGAGGUGUGUUCGGAGACUUUACGACUGCGAGGUACUCGGCAGACAUAAAGAGCCGUGCACGACGAAAGCGCGUUUUUCCAUUCCACCGAGAAAAAUUGGUAGAGAGGAAAAGGUUUGAAGAAGUGUGUCGGUCAAUGGGUUACCGACCGAGUCACCGGUUAAAUGGGCUAAUGAGUAAGCAAAUGACCGAGAAAGUAAGAUGUUGAUAUUGAAGACAAGUCGCUUCAAGAAUAUGGUAAUUAAGCACGAGUGGAUGAUACGAAUUAUGUAUUGGUGAGCCAGUGAAGGAGAAUUUUUAUGAAUAAUUAUUGUCGGAGGUUAAUAAAAUGAUUGAGUUAAUGAACUAGUUGAGUUGAUAAGUUAGAGAGUGAUUAAGUGAAUGAAUUAGUAACGUAUUAAUGAUCUAAUUAUUAAGUGAGAAAAGUAAUAGGUUUUGAGUUAGUUAUUAUAGAAUGGAUAAGCUAACAAAUGAAUUGAUCUGAUAAAUAGAAAUUGAAUUGAUAGGUUACUAAAUGAGUGAAUACAUUGUUAAGCUAUUAAAUACACAAAUCAAUAAGUAACCUAGUUAUUAAAUUAACAAGUGAAUAAAUGGGUGAAUUACUGAUAUGAUAAAGCACUAGAUUAAUAAAUGGACGAUAUAACAAAUCACUUACACAAUCCAACAGAUUAAGUUUACAAGUGAGUGAAUAAAUUAAUGCACCAAGUAAAAUCACAUAAAAUAUGUAAUCAGUAUUCCGUUUCACAAAUGAAUAAGUAAACAAUUUGAUCAUAAAUAAAUAAUCGUUCAAUACAUAUUAUUGAAUCCGAUAUAACGAAGAAAUGGAAAUAAAAUAAAAAUGACUACAGCAGCGCCACUCUCGUCACGAAAAUGAAGAGUGAAAUUGUUGCGGCCGAUCGAGAGCGAAGCGAUUCGUUUCGAUUGGCGUCGUUGUUGUGCAGUAACAAAAUAAUUGCGGGAUUCUGUGAGUGCCGCGCCUCUUGUCCCAAGAUUUGUAUAAAAAUCGUUCGUUCCAGUGACGAGCACCACCGUGAUUCCAAUAGAGAGACAGUGUUCCAAAAGAGAAAAAGAGACUGUGUGAUGUUUAACCAUCGAUUGCAUUGCCUCUUUUUAUUCUCUACUCGAGUUCUAUAGACGCCACUGGCUUCUCUUGGGAUUUUAUUCGAAUAAUUCAGUACUCGUGGUCAAUAUGGAACGUGAAACUAAUUAACGUAACGAACGAGAUAGAUAAUCCGCACAUCGCGUGUAUUACGAUAAUCAUCCAGGAUAAAUUUUUCUUGCAUGUAUUUGUGAACAAGUUUUGCACAUUGGUAACGAUAAAUAAUAGGCUAGGAAAAUAUGAUUUCAAAAAGACUUCAAUAAGAGUAAAUAAUGAAAAUUCUCGAUAUUCUCGAUUUCAAUCUGUAUAAUCUUUUUUUAUAACCUCCAAAAGUAUUGAUGGCUUCGGUUAACCUAAGUAUCCUAGUGAAUUCUAAUAUUCAAUACUUUAGGCUUAUUCAAAAAAUUUAAAAGUAUAUUAGAAUAAGCAGAUAAUUUUAUUAAAAAUUUUUCAAUGUUUAAACAAUUUAACAUAAAAAAGAAAGUAGAGUCGUAAAAAUUAAUCAAUUAUUAAAUUUUGUUUUUCGAUAUUGUGUGAUCAUUAAAGAAAAUUUUAUAAAUUAAACAUCAGAAUUCCAACUGAGAUCCAAUAGAGACCUUUUCUUUAUGGAUUUGUUAAAAUUUAACACUCUACUCUACUAAAAAUCUGCAAUAUAUCGUAUAAUUUUUUUUUUGUACAUUCUUCGAAAAAUAAUCUUUCAAAUAUUCUCGUGCAUUUAUGAGGCGAUUAAAAAUCAUUCCACGCGAUCGUUUCGAGUGAAAUUAAUAGUAAUAAUUGCCAGAUGGGACGAGAUGGACACGGAUGAAUAAAAGAUGAAAUUAAAGCGGACGAACAAGCUGGUGGGCAAAUUUCGACUGGAAAAUUUUACCCUUUUCUAUCCCUCUCUAUUUAUUAGCACACGGUUCAACGAUAUCUUCGAGUGGUCAUAAAUCUUCGAGUAGUUGCCUGUUACCAAGAUAAUGAAGGAAAUGAGAGGAAUUUUCAGCGAACGAGAAACGAUAUAUACCGCGGAACUUGUUUGCAUUUUUCGUGGAAACCAUGUAAAAAAAAA